RNAcentral lists this long non-coding RNA (1566 nucleotides) under Fukomys damarensis (Damara mole-rat). Its description in RNAcentral is "lncRNA (ENSFDAG00000031547.1)". Lineage: Eukaryota; Metazoa; Chordata; Mammalia; Rodentia; Bathyergidae. The record is from RNAcentral.
GUGAUCAUCUUUCCUCCCUGGGAGGCUGUGCAGGGAGGGCGUGGCUGGCACCUGGCUUCCCUGGGCUUCUUUCCCAGCUCCCUUAGCGGACGGCAGGUGCUCAGGAAACAGCCGCUGGAUCUGAUCGACUUCCGGCUCCCAGUGCUGGAUAAGGCCCUCCGCGUGGCGGCAGAGAACAGGCCCAGAACCAGAGCUGCGGGCCCACUGGGCAGGGGUUCAGGCAGGGGAGAGUGGGGUGUUUGGUCACCAGUGGCUGCUGGCUGUGGGUGGGACUGGUCGCUGUCCACAGCACCGCCAUAGGGCCUGGUCACGUGGGCGAGUGCGGGCUUCCUUACCCGUGGGUACAAGGUUCUGGAACAAGCAUCCUCCAAAGAACCAGAGGAAGCUUAACCACCAUCUCUGGCUUUUUCUCGGGCAUCACACAGCAUCAUUAACCCUCUAGUGACAAGCCCUCUUGAGUUAAGAAGGACUGUAGGCCCCUCAUCUUGAAGGAUAGGUUGGGGUCAGGGUCACAUUGUAAGACAUGUAUGAGAGAUGGAUGGUGCAGCUGCAGCCAUUUUGUGAUAAUAGGUCCUGCCUCAGGUGACUAGUGGGUAGGACAUUCAGUCUUUGAGGUGAUUUAUCCAGCCUUACUACAUACAGGUUUUCUAAAGUGUAUCAGGCAUCAGUAAAACUAGACAGAUGGACCUCAGAUUCAGAGCUGGAUCAGAAAUAUCUUUCCUGCAAAAUACUACAUCGUCCUGUGUGGCAGAACAAUAUCCUGGUGACCAAUGAAGCCAGAUGGGUGACAUGUCCUGGCCAUGAUGUCAGAUUUUGUAAGAUGAGAUCACUGUAAAGGGCACAUGGGGUUGGUGUUAUUUUUUAUGAAUCUGCAAUUAUUUGUCUAAAAUUUCCAAUUAGAAAAACGUGAAUCUAGGCUGCCUGGAUCUGCAUCUGCCUGUCUGCCCCAGGCUCCCCUGGAAAGCUGUCCAGAAGCCACAUGGGCACCACUGUGAUGUCAGCAGACAGAAUGCCGCAGAGGCUGGCUGUGAGCAGACGUCUGGGACACACGAGGCCUGGUGGGCACCACGGACCUUGGCCAGCUGCGGAGCCCCUCUGUGCAGGGGCCAGGGAGACACAGGAGGGGCUGUGCCCGCUUCGCAGAAGAGACACUGAGGCUCAGAAGUCAAGCUGUCACCACUCUUCGUAUUUACGGACGGGAAUUCUGGCGCAGUUCACCUCAGAAGCAGCUGGACCAGAAGAUGAAUUCAGGCCGCGUGGCACCUGUCAUGUAAAGAAAGGCCAGAGUGACCCCACCUGUACCAGUACCCCAGGUACAUCAUUCUGGGGUAGCUCCGUUCUGCUGACACCUUCACAGGUCUCAGAGACCAGAGUGUGGACAUCUUCAGGGUCCUUUACCAGCCACAGAAGUUUCCACAAGCCUGGAGGGGCCACUUUCCGGAAGCUUCCCUCUUAUUAUGAGUUGGAGUAAAAACAAAGGGAGAUCUGCAAGUGCCUGGCCUAGAGUCGAAGCCCUCUGGGGUCCUUUAGUUCUGUCAUCUAACGAGGCACAGACAGGGGAGCCCA